Molecule: non-coding RNA, 74 nt
Organism: Aedes albopictus (Asian tiger mosquito)
Lineage: Eukaryota; Metazoa; Arthropoda; Insecta; Diptera; Culicidae
Source: Rfam
UGUUCUGUGGCUUAGUUGGUUAAAUCGCUGAUCAAGCAAAUACGGAAUCGUGGGUUCGAAUCCCACCAGAACGC